GACGAACGCUGGCGGCGUGCUUAACACAUGCAAGUCGAACGGAAAGGCCCUGCUUUUGUGGGGUGCUCGAGUGGCGAACGGGUGAGUAACACGUGAGUAACCUGCCCUUGACUUUGGGAUAACUUCAGGAAACUGGGGCUAAUACCGGAUAGGAGCUCCUGCUGCAUGGUGGGGGUUGGAAAGUUUCGGCGGUUGGGGAUGGACUCGCGGCUUAUCAGCUUGUUGGUGGGGUAGUGGCUUACCAAGGCUUUGACGGGUAGCCGGCCUGAGAGGGUGACCGGCCACAUUGGGACGGGGAUACGGCCCAGACUCCUACGGGGGGCAGCGGGGGGGAAUAUUGCAAAAUGGGCGGAAGCCUGAUGCAGCAACGCCGCGGGGGGGAUGACGGCCUUCGGGUUGUAAACCGUUUUCCCCUGGGACGAAGCGUGAGGGAGGGUAAUGGGUAAAGAAGCACCGGCUAACUACGU
RNAcentral lists this ribosomal RNA (467 nucleotides) under uncultured bacterium. Its description in RNAcentral is "partial 16S ribosomal RNA". It matches the Rfam family "Bacterial small subunit ribosomal RNA", at positions 28 to 506 of the family's 1533-position model. The record is from RNAcentral.